UACGUAGGUGGCAAGCGUUGUCCGGAUUUAUUGGGUUUAAAGGGUGCGUAGGCGGAUUGAUAAGUCAGUGGUGAAAGCCGAUCGCUUAACGAUCGAACUGCCAUUGAUACUGCCAGGCUUGAGUAUAGUUGAGGUAGGCGGAAUUGACAGUGUAGCGGUGAAAUGCAUAGAUAUUGUCAAGAACACCAAUUGCGAAGGCAGCUUACUAAAGUAUAACUGACGCUGAGGCACGAAAGUGCGGGGAUCAAACAGG
RNAcentral lists this ribosomal RNA (253 nucleotides) under uncultured bacterium. RNAcentral's name for it is "partial 16S ribosomal RNA". It matches the Rfam family "Bacterial small subunit ribosomal RNA", at positions 524 to 776 of the family's 1533-position model. The record is from RNAcentral.